This 341-nucleotide unclassified non-coding RNA is filed under the name soil metagenome. Its description in RNAcentral is "partial contains 5.8S ribosomal RNA, internal transcribed spacer 2, and large subunit ribosomal RNA". The stretch from base 1 to 120 matches the Rfam family "5.8S ribosomal RNA", at positions 35 to 154 of the family's 154-position model. The record is from RNAcentral.
GAUGAAGAACGUAGCGAAAUGCGAUAAGUAAUGUGAAUUGCAGAAUUCAGUGAAUCAUCGAAUCUUUGAACGCACAUUGCGCCCCCCGGUAUUCCGGCGGGCAUGCCUGUUCGAGCGUCAUUUCAACCCUCAAGCUCUGCUUGGUAUUGGGGGAUAGGCCCCGUUGGGGCCUCCCCAGAAAAUUAGCGACGGUGCUCCUGAGAGUCCCAGCGUAGUGACUUUUAAAUCUCGCUGUCAAGGACGUCAGUUUGCUUCUGUCGGAAAUUUUUUUUUUUUUCAAUGGUUGACCUCGGAUCAGGUAGGGAUACCCGCUGAACUUAAGCAUAUCAAUAAGCGGAGGA